This 72-nucleotide transfer RNA is filed under the name Camelus bactrianus (Bactrian camel). It matches the Rfam family "tRNA". Rfam says of the family: Transfer RNA (tRNA) molecules are approximately 80 nucleotides in length. Their secondary structure includes four short double-helical elements and three loops (D, anti-codon, and T loops). RNAcentral also lists the same sequence under 3 other names. Lineage: Eukaryota; Metazoa; Chordata; Mammalia; Artiodactyla; Camelidae. The record is from Rfam by way of RNAcentral.
GAAGGUAUAGCCCAGUGGUAGAGCAUGCAUUUAGCAUGCACAUGGUCCUGAGUUCAAUCCCCGGUACCUCCA